Molecule: ribosomal RNA, 372 nt
Filed under: uncultured organism
Description: bacterial SSU rRNA
Rfam family: Bacterial small subunit ribosomal RNA
Source: RNAcentral
CAGAGGGGGCAAGCGUUAUUCGGAAUUAUUGGGCGUAAAGGGCGCGUAGGCGGCCUGGCAAGUGGAAGGUGAAAUCCCUCGGCUUAACCGAGGAACUGCCUCCCAAACUGCUUGGCUUGAGACCAGGAGAGGUGAGUGGAAUCCCCAGUGUAGCGGUGAAAUGCGUAGAUAUUGGGAGGAACACCAGUGGCGAAGGCGGCUCAUUGGACUGGUACUGACGCUGAGGCGCGAAAGCGUGGGGAGCAAACGGGAUUAGAUACCCCGGUAGUCCACGCCGUAAACGAUGAGUGCUUGGUGUAGCGGGUAUCGACCCCUGCUGUGCCGAAGUCAACACAUUAAGCACUCCGCCUGGGGAGUACGGUCGCAAGGCUG